AUGUAUCCAACAACAAAUCACUACAUGGAUCCAUACUCCUCAUACUACAGGCAUCAUGCUCCCUAUCCAUAUUAUCCCCCUCCUGCCUGGGAACCUGGGCACCAGCAGAUGCCUGAACCGGACUGCUCGCCAUGUCGGCCGCCGUCGUAUGGCCCUUGGCCGUACAGUGCCAGCAUGAAUCACUCUGGCCUUCCAGACUCCCAUAGCUGCUGCAGUCACACAUACCCUCCUGGUUACUACAGUUUCAGACCCCCAUUGCCCCAAGAAUUUCCACCACCACCUCCUCUAUACUACCAUGGUCCAUUUCCACCGCAUCAUCAUCUGAACCCCUACUCGCCAUCAUACUUUGGCCCACUCCCACCAUAUCAUCCUGUCGAUCAAACACCAUACGAUGGUUUUUAUGACAAGUUCAGGAGCCAUUGUUGCGGGUGUCCGAACCAUGUGUGCCAUGGAGAUGGAGGGCAGAAGAGCAACGUGAAAAUCGAAGAACAUGUGCCUGAAGUGAAGGAUGACAGUAAACAGAAGGAUGCAGACAAUUCCAGAAUAAUUCGCAACCCAAACUACCAGUACCCGGUGAUGUGGCUACCGUCCGGUGACAUGAAAGACAACAAGGCUAAUAAUGGAACAAGCUUUGAGUUUCCACCUCAGUUUUUCAGCAAGUGGUUUCCUCAAAGUGGAGAGAGGGCAGAGGAUGUGAAGCCAGCUGAUGACAAUCAGAAGGCGAAACAACUUCAGUGGCCAAUGGUUUGGAUGCCACCAGGAUAUGGCGUUGAGACCAAACCAGAAGCUAAAAAAGAGCUGAAGGAGAUAGAGCAGAGUCCAAAGAGCACGCAAGAAGAUCCGCCUUCGCCGAAGAUCAAGAUUAUUCCCUUGUCAUGGUUUGGAAAUGAUCAUCAUGAUCAAAAGCCUGCUGCUAGGGAUGGCUCUGGAGAACAACAUGGAAGAUCAUCAGCGGCGAACCAGCCUGCAGGCACCCAGCAUCGGCAUGACACGACAGUGGAUGGAAAUUGUAAGACCAUCCCAGUUGUGCCGGAGAAGCCGAACACUGGGAAUGAACCUGCUGCUAUUUCAGUUGUGCCGGAGAAACCAAACAGUGGGAAUGAACCUGCUACUAUUUCAGUUGUGCCGGAGAAACAGGAUUCUGAGAAGAAGGUUCAUACCUGCAGGACCAUCCCGGUUAUGCCUCAGAAAGAGAGUGAUGAGAAGAAAUCCUCCAUGGCUGGAAACAAAGAAGAAAAGAAGGCCAUCAUUGUUCAGAAGGAGGGAGAAAGUAAGAAAAGCAACAAUGUUGAAUCAUCAAAGGCCAAGCCUUCAAAAUUACCCCCUGUAUGCUUGCGAGUGGAUCCUUUGCCAAAGAAGAAAUCAGGAAACACAUCUUCAAGGUCAUCCAACCAAGCAACCAAGAAGGUUUGUGAAAAAGUGAAGGAUGUGAAAGAGGCCCAAGGCAAGAACCAGGAGACAAAGCAAUCAGAACAUCAGAAAGAGGGUAAGAUGCCGAUUAAAGAGAAAUCAUCUGAUGAUGUUGCCAAAAGUACAGGGCCUAGGAAUGUAACAGUGGUAGAUGCUUCAGUGAAGCACGCGCAAGAGGAACAAGUUUCCACAACUGUGACUGAUCAGAAGGCGCAACCUACCGUCAGUGCUGAAGCACAAGAAGAAAGUGUCAGUGCAAGUAGCUUGCAGGAGUGUGAUAAAAACAGAAAGGAGGAUGAGUUGAAGAUCGGAGGUGAAGCUCCAAAUUUAGCCUGUGAAAUAAAGUUAUCAGAACCAGAUGCCGCUGUUCGUAUUCAGUCUGCAUACAGAGGGUACCAUGUACGAAGAUGGCAGCCUUUGGAGAAACUACGGAAGAUCAAGAAUGUACAUAAACAGAUGCAAGAUGUGGAGAAGCAGCUGCAAGCCCUUGAAGCUUCUUCAAAGCAGCCGACAGUAAAAGAGCACAUUGCUAUGAAUGAGACCAUCAUGAAUUUACUUCUGAACCUUGACACCAUUCAAAACUUGCAUCCAGUUGUGAGGGAGGCUAGGAAGUCUGUUGCUCGACAGCUAGUUUGUUUGCAGGAGAAGCUCGAUUCUUUGUGCAAGAAACUGCCUGCUGAACCAAAUCACCCUAAGAGUGAGGAAGCAAGUCUCACAGGAGUGGGUGAAGAACAAUUGCCUUCCUCAGUUAACUCCAACGAGCCUAUGCACGAUGAGGUUUCAUCGGAAGUUGCCUUGAAGUUGAGUCAAGAUGGAGAUUCUACUGAACAGAAACAUCAAACAGAGGAACCAAGUACUGCAAAAGAAGAAGCGCAAGAUGAAGGAAAAGCUGCAGCACCUGGUGAAUGUCAAGGAGUACCCCCGACGGAUGUGAUGCCUGAUGCAGCUUUAUCAGGACUUGCCACUGAGAAGAAGUACCAAAUGGAAGAGCCAGACAUAUUGAGAGAAGAAUAUACUGAAGAAGAGAAAGCCGCAGCGAAGAGUGAAGGAUCAUCAACACGCUACCUCGAUGGCUCAGUGCUGAAACAAUGCACUGAAGGAUCUGCGGAGCAAAACUGCCACCCUGAAGAAUCAGAUCAAGGCGUUUCUUUUACAACUGAGGAUGGUAAAACUGCAAUGACUAAAGCAUGUAUGGACAGUGAAGUUGAUGCUGCCAAUCAGGACGGUUCGGCAGAAGGAGGUCAGGUGCAGGAAUCUGCUCCCGUUGGUAUCUCGUGGCUGAAACAUGAUGCUGCCCCUGCUGAAGAUCAGUUCAAAGAACCAGGUGCUCCAUCCCUUCAUCUGGAGGAUUCUUCUGUGUCUUCAAAAGCUGCAGAUCCACAUGAAAAUGAUCCAGCCCUGGCAGAUGACUCCAUAGUAAUCAUCACUCCAGCAGACCAACAAGAAGGGUCCGUUGAUGCUGACUUGCAGAAAGAAGUUGCAGAGACCAUGGUUGAUUCAGACAAAGAACCAAAUGGAACGCCAACGCCUCCUGUUGGCGAUGCCGGUAACAUGGACUACGUUCCUGGUGCAAAUGCAGAGAUCACAGAGCAAGAAAAACUUGGUUUGGUAGGACCAGAAGCGACAAGACAAUGUGAGGAAUCAGCACUUGCGGAGCAGCAAAAUGAAGGUGGCUCUGCCAUGGAAAAUACUAUGAAUGAUGAUGAAAUUGGAGAGGAGCCUGAAGCCAUAGCAUCGGAAAGCAGAGUCGAUGCCAUUGUAGAGGAGACUGAAGCUGUACCAUUGGAAAUCGACAACAAGACCACUGAAAAUACUCUGAAUGGUGCCACUGGAGAGGGGGCUGAAGCCGCACCACUGUAG
This 3270-nucleotide ribosomal RNA is filed under the name Triticum aestivum (bread wheat). RNAcentral describes it as "partial small subunit ribosomal RNA". The record is from RNAcentral. Lineage: Eukaryota; Viridiplantae; Streptophyta; Magnoliopsida; Poales; Poaceae.